UGCCCUUAUCGUCUACUAGGUUUAGGACAUCAGACUUUCAAUCUGGAAAAGCGAGUUCGAAUCUCGCUAAGGGCACCAA
Molecule: transfer RNA, 79 nt
Filed under: Pseudomonas phage Astolliot
Lineage: Duplodnaviria; Heunggongvirae; Uroviricota; Caudoviricetes; Vandenendeviridae
Description: tRNA-Glu
Rfam family: tRNA
About the family: Transfer RNA (tRNA) molecules are approximately 80 nucleotides in length.
Source: RNAcentral